This 499-nucleotide ribosomal RNA is filed under the name uncultured bacterium. RNAcentral's name for it is "bacterial SSU rRNA". It matches the Rfam family "Bacterial small subunit ribosomal RNA", at positions 28 to 514 of the family's 1533-position model. The record is from RNAcentral.
GAUGAACGCUAGCUACAGGCUUAACACAUGCAAGUCGAGGGGAAACGAUAUUGGAAGCUUGCUUCUGAUAGGCGUCGACCGGCGCACGGGUGAGUAACGCGUAUCCAACCUGCCCAUCACUUGGGGAUAACCUUGUGAAAGUAAGACUAAUACCCAAUGACGUCUCUAGAAGACAUCUGAAAGAGAUUAAAGAUUUAUCGGUGAUGGAUGGGGAUGCGUCUGAUUAGCUUGUUGGCGGGGUAACGGCCCACCAAGGCGACGAUCAGUAGGGGUUCUGAGAGGAAGGUCCCCCCACAUUGGAACUGAGACACGGUCCAAACUCCUACGGGAGGCAGCAGUGAGGAAUAUUGGUCAAUGGGCGAGAGCCUGACCAGCCAAGUAGCGUGCAGGAUGACGGCCCUAUGGGUUGUAAACUGCUUUUAUAAGGGAAUAAAGUGAGUCUCGUGAGACUUUUUGCAUGUACCUUAUGAAUAAGGACCGGCUAAUUCCGUGCCAGCAG